AGAACGAACGCUGGCGGCAUGCCUAACACAUGCAAGUCGAACGCUUGUCCGGCUUCGGCCGAACAGGAGUGGCGCACGGGUGAGUAGCGCGUGGGAACCUGCCCUGUUGUGGGGGAUAACCGAGGGAAACUUCGGCUAAUACCGCAUAAGCCGGUUGUCUUGAAAGAGAUGGCCGGGAAAGAUUUAUCGCGACAGGAGGGGCCCGCGUCGGAUUAGGUAGUUGGUAGGGUAACGGCCUACCAAGCCUUUGAUCCGUAGCUGGUCUGAGAGGAUGAUCAGCCACACUGGGACUGAGACACGGCCCAGACUCCUACGGGAGGCAGCAGUGGGGAAUAUUGGACAAUGGGCGCAAGCCUGAUCCAGCAAUGCCGCGUGAGUGAUGAAGGCCUUAGGGUUGUAAAGCUCUUUCGCCCGCGACGAUGAUGACGGUAGCGGGAGAAGAAGCCCGGCUAACUUCGCGCCAGCAGCCGCGGUAA
This 476-nucleotide ribosomal RNA is filed under the name uncultured bacterium. RNAcentral describes it as "SSU rRNA". It matches the Rfam family "Bacterial small subunit ribosomal RNA", at positions 26 to 523 of the family's 1533-position model. The record is from RNAcentral.